Molecule: long non-coding RNA, 399 nt
Organism: Canis lupus familiaris (dog)
Lineage: Eukaryota; Metazoa; Chordata; Mammalia; Carnivora; Canidae
Exons: 3
Source: RefSeq, a predicted model, not a curated record
GAGCAGAGAAAAGAUCCAGGCCACACAGCAAGGAUCAACAGCCUGGGGGCUGAGGCCAAGAGAGAGACACCAACCAUUUCAGCACUGACCCUAGAAGCACAGAUCAUGUGGUCAUCAUCAGUCAUUAAGGACAAGUAAUGCCUUGAAUAUGUGACCACACGUGGCAGCUGACAUCUGUACAGGCAAAUGGCCACAUGCAAGAAGCAUUCACAACAGGGUAGUCGGGACAAGACCACAGGUUAAAACAGCUCUCAAGGUCAAGACUCUUCACCUCAGGAGUGCCUGGGUGGCUCAGUUGGUUAAGUGUCUGCCUUUGAUUCAGGUUGUGAUCUGAGUCCUGAGAUCGGGUCCAGGCUCCCUGCUCACUGCUUGUGCUCUCUCUCUCUCUCUGUCAAAUAA